RNAcentral lists this ribosomal RNA (483 nucleotides) under uncultured bacterium. RNAcentral describes it as "partial 16S ribosomal RNA". It matches the Rfam family "Bacterial small subunit ribosomal RNA", at positions 30 to 507 of the family's 1533-position model. The record is from RNAcentral.
AUUGAACGCUGGCGGCGGCCUAACACAUGCAAGUCGAGCGGAUGAAGGGAGCUUGCUCCUGGAUUCAGCGGCGGACGGGUGAGUAAUGCCUAGGAAUCUGCCUGGUAGUGGGGGAUAACGUCCGGAAACGGGCGCUAAUACCGCAUACGUCCUGAGGGAGAAAGUGGGGGAUCUUCGGACCUCACGCUAUCAGAUGAGCCUAGGUCGGAUUAGCUAGUUGGUGGGGUAAAGGCCUACCAAGGCGACGAUCCGUAACUGGUCUGAGAGGAUGAUCAGUCACACUGGAACUGAGACACGGUCCAGACUCCUACGGGAGGCAGCAGUGGGGAAUAUUGGACAAUGGGCGAAAGCCUGAUCCAGCCAUGCCGCGUGUGUGAAGAAGGUCUUCGGAUUGUAAAGCACUUUAAGUUGGGAGGAAGGGCAGUAAGUUAAUACCUUGCUGUUUUGACGUUACCAACAGAAUAAGCACCGGCUAACUUCGUG